CCGGACUCGGGGCACUGCCUCCCGCCGCCGCCCGCCGGCCCCGGAGCAGCUCGCCCGCCGCCGCGGAGCCGGAGGUACCGGGGAGCGCGCGCAGGGCGAGGCGGGCGGGGGCUCGGGGCGCCGCGGGGGCGCGGGGGCGCGCGGACCACCUGUUCCGGAGGGACCUCCGCGUGCGCACCGGCUGCUCCCCGGCCACUGCGCCCCGAAGAUGGAUCUGCGGGCGUGGAGAGUCUGUGGAAGGGCCGUGUUCCUGUUGGCAGAGAAGGUUGGCUGCUGAGCCAGGGCGUGUCUCCCAGAGGGCGCCAGGCCGCCUGGAUCCCCAUCUCGUCGCCAUGGGCCGCCCAGGCUGCCACCUGCAGGGCCUCCAGGAUGUUCUUGGCUGCCUGCCAGGUGGACAUCACCAGGAGAGGGUGAGGGUCGAAGGGCAAUAGUCCGAGGUGAGAUUACAGGCUGCAGCACCAUCUUCCUGGCCCUGGCCCUCCAGACCUGUGUCUGUGAGAAGCAUGGCCCAGGGCAGGGGCUGGGGAGGCCAGGUGCCCAGGAGACCCCACUGCGUCUGAGACAGAGGCUUUAGGACCCAGCAUGCGUCCCCGUGUGCCUGGAGCCCACCCGUUGUGCAAGCUUGCAUGCCAGCCCUUAGCACGCCAGUGUCCAGGCCUGCCCAAGCCCCAGGCUUUUCUGCUGAAAGUCCCCAAGGCUACUUGGCAGUGUGCCCUCUUGGCCUGGUUUGUGGGACUGAAUGGGGCCGAGGGGUACAUGUGUGAGGCCUCGAAUCAGGGGCUACCAGCAGCCUGAGGGGGCCAGGCCUCCCCAGACAAGGACCCGGCCUGGGUCCAUGAUGGCCAUGUCGUAGGUAGCACUGGCUCAGGUCUCGGGAAGCUCACAGGUGUGUCACAGAGUGAAAGGGACUCUGCCCAGACCUCAGCCUGUGGCCUGCCGCUCCCG
Molecule: long non-coding RNA, 945 nt
Filed under: Canis lupus dingo (dingo)
Lineage: Eukaryota; Metazoa; Chordata; Mammalia; Carnivora; Canidae
Description: lncRNA (ENSCAFG00020000169.1)
Source: RNAcentral